AGGACUAGUUACCCUGCCUCUGAAGAAGCAGGCUGAGGUUUUCAAAAGAGUAAGAUGUGCCUGCUUCCCCUUCUGCCAUGAUUGUAAGUUUCCUGAAGCUUCCCCAGACAUGUGGAACUGCCCAUCCGUGGCUGCCCAUGGACCAAUCAGCAUGCGCUUCCUCUCUUCUGAGCUCAUGAAAACCCUGGACUCAGCCAGACUUGCACACUCGUCAGGACAACAUCCCUGCAGAAAGGAGCUACUUGCCAUGUUUCUCCUCUCCUCUGUGAGCUGGAACCCCAUCAGGACAACUUGCCUAUGGAAAGGAGCUACCCACUUUGGGUCUCCUGAAAGCUGUUUUGUCACUCAGUGAAGCUCCUCUGCCUUCCUCACCCUCAAAUUGUCCAUGUAUCUCGUUCUUCCUAGAUGCAGGAAAAGAACUGGGACCUGCUGAAUGGUGAGAAUGAAAGAGCUGUAACACAAACAGGGCUGAAAUAUGCCCCCUGCUCACCACAUUGUGAGUGAUGAGGAGAAAAGAGCUGCAGCCCUUCUGGGAAUGCAGACAUCAGGUCUCCCUGAACUAGGGCUGUGGCACUCUCUUUGGGGCUCUGCUUUUGGGCACCAUCGCAUUCCCCUUGUCUAGAUGCUGGUGCCCACAGCCAAAGCUGCUUUUAAUAUGCCUGGUCUAGCUUCAGUCUUCCAUGGAGCUGGUGCCUGUGCCAGUGCCUGGAACCGCCCACCCCUCUGCCACAGCUGGAGCACCUGGCUGUGUGCAGUGGCUGGACCCUGCACUCACUUGCUCACACAUCCCUCACUGCUCCAUGCCUGGCUUGCCCAUGGCAGUUAGGGGAUGCGGCUGGUAGCACAAGCCGAGCAGGGGCUGCUGGGCUGAGUGGGUGGAAUGAGCCCAGCGAGCACAAGCAAAACCUAAGCAGAGGCACCACCAGCCACAGAGGUUUCUGGCUGGCAAAUUGACACCCUAGGAAUCCCAUGACAGCCUGGGCUCCCUGGUUGCCCACUGCAUUCUGGGAGAGCUUAAGGAUCCACUGUCUUUAACAUCAAGUUUUCUAACCUAUAUCUGUUGAGACUUUUUAAGUUACAUCAUUUCAGAAACAUUAACCAUUUUUCCGUCAGAAUCAAAGCCUGAAUUCCAAAUCUUUUGGUACCAGUAGCAUAUUUUUACAGUAAUUUUCAUUUUUCAACCCUGGCCGUUCUGAUUUUGUAGUGUACCAGCCCCUACUCUGGCAUGAGAUGGAAAGGCUAGGGAAACUAGGGGUUCAAACAUUGCAUUUUCAGCUGUUUGAGAUAAUAUAAGCUUUGUGUUAUGAUUCUGCAGGAAAAUAAAUAAGUAGAUAAAUAAAUAGCACCAAAAAAUAACCAUUAAAUGUCUCUGAGGGGCAGACUAAUGAUAAGCCAUAAAUUAGGGCAUAAAUACAUUGAUCAGCUGGCUACUAGCAAACCACCAGAACUCUGCCGCUAUCUGGAAUGAUAACCUGUGGGAUACAGUCAACUUUCUGCCAGAGCUCCAUUUGAGCUUGAGCCUGUCAUACUCAGCUGAUGCCCAAGUGACCCCUUCUCUCAUCUUUCAUUCAUUUUUCAUGCUUACAUUUUCAUACUACCCUGCUUUGUUCCCUUGCCACCUCUUACUUCCCUCCAGAGGUUUACAGCCAU
Long non-coding RNA from Homo sapiens (human), 1650 nucleotides. Ensembl annotates it as long intergenic non-protein coding RNA 1515. Lineage: Eukaryota; Metazoa; Chordata; Mammalia; Primates; Hominidae. The record is from Ensembl.